AUUUUUUAAAAUGUAAAUGGAGUAAAUGAUAAAAUGUAGACUGAAUUUAUCAUAAAGACAUUUUCUUUUGGUAUACUGCAAGGAACUAUGAACUUUUAGUAACUACUAUAAGCAACUGACAGGAAAAAAUGGCAACAGAAGAAGGAAAGAGGAGAGAAUGGGGAGCAGACACUAAGGUGUAGUGAAAGGAGGAAAAUGAAGGCUAAGUCUAAUGAUGUGAAUCCUAUUUGCAAUUCCAUCAAAGGAGGGAUCUUCCUACUGACCAGAAGACCUGAACAGCCUGAGAAUGAUUCCUUUCAACUCCGAGAGAAGAAGCUGCAGAUGAAGAGCAAUCCUGGGAUACAUGUGCAGAAUGUGCAGAAUGUGUACAUAGGUACACACGUACCAUGGUGGUUUGCUGUAUCCAUCAACUUGUCAUCUACAUUAGGAUACUGUUUACUGAAAACCCACCAAUCUGAUCUUUUAUGAGAAGCUAGUCCCUGAAAAGGCCCUUGGAUCAAAAGUCAAAAACUUGAAGCACAGAGUGGGAUGUCAGAUGCCAAGAUUUAAAUCUAGUCAUUUGAUUCCAGAGCCCACAUUCUUAAAUAAUAUGCUACACUGACCUUUAUUGUCUUUAAACAUUAUCUUUAUUUAAUGUGUUUCAUAGAAAUUACUUCUCAGGUAUUCCUAAAUUUAUUUUUAAAAAUAAUGUCAUGCUAUCACUAUAAUAUAGUUUUUUAAAUUAACUUGAGAGGUAAUGUAGUAUGAUCAACUUCCUUAAUAGCCUUUUAAACUAGAAAUAACUAUUAAAUAUUUUAAUAUUAUAAAUUAACAGGCAAAAUGGUGAAAAAUCUAACAUCUGGUUCUUAAAAGUAAGUUGAAAUAUAAGAUCAGAUUUGAAUGCACAUGGAAAAAUAGAACUGGCAAAUAAUGCCAUAUUUGAAGAUCUUUUAGUAUUCUCUGGUAUUUUUCCUUUCAUUUCAAAAUUGUUAUAUUCUUUUUAAUGACUUCAAAUGAAUUAGGAAAUGUCAGGCUUCUAAAAAUCAAACAGAACGUCCAACCAGUAGAUUUCAUUCAGGGCAGUGGGAGCCUGUUCAGUUGUUUCCUCUUUCUCCCUCACUUUUAAAAAUCCUCAAUCACUGCCAUUUCUCUUCUCAGCUUUCACAACACUUUACAGGCAGCUGAAUGAAAGGGCAGAAGCUUCCUCUGAAACUCCUGUUAUUUCAGCUCUAAAAUCAGCUGAAAAGGAUGCCCUCCCCAGAGACAGAAAUGCAUUCCCUCCAUCAUGAACCUGCAAUGCCCUCAGGUUGUGGCAAGGGAGAAGUUUAGCACUUGAACCUAGAUAACGCUAUUUUUUUAAUCAAAGUGCACCAUUCUUGUUUCAUAUGGCCUGUGGCGCAAUUUAUUUAAAACAAUAUGGUGCAUCAAAGAAGGUAAACAAUAAUAACAAUAAUAAUAAUAAUAUAGGAAUAGCAAUGUGCACAUAAAUAAUAUAGGAAAACACAUGGCCUCAGUACCUUCAUGAAAUGGGACUUCAAUAUACAUAUUUCUUAUACAGCUUUAUGCAUGACUUCAUUGCACUUCACUGCUCUGUUGUAUCACUCUACCAAUAAACCUAUACAUCAUACUGAGUGAAAUAUGUUCACAGGCCCUUUACUUGACAAAAAAAAAAAAAAA
This 1656-nucleotide long non-coding RNA is filed under the name Pan troglodytes (chimpanzee). Its description in RNAcentral is "lincRNA". Lineage: Eukaryota; Metazoa; Chordata; Mammalia; Primates; Hominidae. The record is from RNAcentral.